AUGAAGUGCAAGACAUGUGCUCACAAAGUAAAUGCAAAAAUUGCAUUACAUGGUGUGGUCUAUCAUUCAUACCUGCAUCUCAACUCUCACAAGAAUGUUGAAGGUCGUCAGGAGGUCGUCGACCCGAAAGACCUAGGACCACUGAUUGACAGGGCAUGUGCCAAGUGCCGUCACGAUGAACUUCAUUGCCACACCAG
This is a long non-coding RNA of Asterias rubens (European starfish), 197 nucleotides long. RefSeq lists it as uncharacterized. NCBI's taxonomy places the organism in Eukaryota, Metazoa, Echinodermata, Asteroidea, Forcipulatida, Asteriidae. The record is from RefSeq and is a predicted model, not a curated record. The transcript is spliced from 3 exons.